UACGGGGGGGGCAAGCGUUGUUCGGAAUUACUGGGCGUAAAGGGCUCGUAGGUGGCCAACUAAGUCGGACGUGAAAUCCCUCGGCUUAACCGGGGAACUGCGUCUGAUACUGGAUGGCUUGAGUUCGGGAGAGGGGUGCGGAAUUCCAGGUGUAGCGGUGAAAUGCGUAGAUAUCUGGAGGAACACCGGUGGCGAAGGCGGCAUCCUGGACCGACACUGACGCUGAGGAGCGAAAGCCAGGGGAGCAAACGGG
This 253-nucleotide ribosomal RNA is filed under the name uncultured bacterium. Its description in RNAcentral is "partial 16S ribosomal RNA". It matches the Rfam family "Bacterial small subunit ribosomal RNA", at positions 524 to 776 of the family's 1533-position model. The record is from RNAcentral.